Long non-coding RNA from Paramacrobiotus metropolitanus, 410 nucleotides. RefSeq lists it as uncharacterized. The record is from RefSeq and is a predicted model, not a curated record. The transcript is spliced from 3 exons. NCBI's taxonomy places the organism in Eukaryota, Metazoa, Tardigrada, Eutardigrada, Parachela, Macrobiotidae.
CUGCGGCACAGGCACAUUGACAUCUACCGGAAGCGGCGGCGCCUGUCCGUGCUGCAUUUGCCACUGCGAAGGUUGACUAUUCUGCGGCACCAUUGGCUGAUACUGCGUGCCUUGAUUAUUCUGGCCAUCCAGAAGGAUGCCCACGCGCUCUUCUUCAGACAUCUGCAGUACCUCAAACCAGUGCAGAAAACUGUGUACGAUGCAACUGUGUCAUCUCUACGGAAAAUACGGGCGUUCAUUUCGCGACGUAAUUCAGCAGGCGUCACUGCUGAAUUAAAAUGUUUCAACAAUUUGGGGCGGAAGAAGGGAAGCACGGGAACACACGGACAAAGCGGGACUUCCACCACGAGGUGAGACUGCACCAUGAUCAACCGCAGCUGGAUGAACAUUACCAUUAUUGUCAACAUGUU